CCUACGGGGAGCUGCAGUGGGGAAUAUUGGGCAAUGGGCGCAAGCCUGACCCAGCAAUGCCGCGUGAAGGAAGAAGGCUUUCGGGUUGUAAACUUCUUUGACAGGGGAAGAGCAGAAGACGGUACCCUGAAAACAAGCCACGGCUAACUACGUGCCAGCAGCCGCGGUAAUACGUAGGUGGCAAGCGUUGUCCGGAUUUAAUGGGUGUAAAGGGCGUGUAGCCGGGAAGGCAAGUCAGAUGUGAAAUCUGGAGGCUCAACCUCCAAAUUGCAUUUGAAACUGUUUUUCUUGAGUACUGGAGAGGCAGACGGAAUUCCUUGUGUAGCGGUGACAUGCGUAGAUAUAAGGAGGAACACCAGUGGCGAAGGCGGUCUGCUGGACAGCAACUGACGGUGAGGCGCGAAAGCGUGGGGAGCAAACAGGAUUAGAUACCCCAGUAGUC
This 442-nucleotide ribosomal RNA is filed under the name uncultured bacterium. Its description in RNAcentral is "partial 16S ribosomal RNA". It matches the Rfam family "Bacterial small subunit ribosomal RNA", at positions 338 to 795 of the family's 1533-position model. The record is from RNAcentral.